AUUCCAGCUCCAAUAGCGUAUAUUAAUGUUGUUGCAGUUAAAAAGCUCGUAGUUGGAUCUCUAACGCACGCGGCCGGUCCGCCCCUCACGGGGUGUGCACUGCGCCGUCGUGCGUUAUCCUGGGGGAGAGCGUCCCGCGCAUUAGGUUGUGUGGGUCGGGAUCCUCCACGUUUACUCAAAAUAAAUAAGAGUGUUCAAAGCAGGCGAUUGCUGUGAAUUCUUCAGUUGGGAAUAAUAAGAUAGGACUCGGGGACUAUUUUGUUGGUUUGCAUCUCCGAGUAAUGAUUAAUAGGGACAGUUAGAGAUAUUCAUAUUCAGUUGUCAGAGGUGAAAUUCUUGGAUUUACGGAAGAUGAACUACUGCGAAAGCAUUUAUCGAGGAUGUUUUCAUUG
This 392-nucleotide ribosomal RNA is filed under the name Stramenopiles sp. Its description in RNAcentral is "partial small subunit ribosomal RNA". It matches the Rfam family "Eukaryotic small subunit ribosomal RNA", at positions 582 to 975 of the family's 1831-position model. The record is from RNAcentral.